GCCAGUAGACAACCGAUAGUAGCUGAUGUCUUAGACAAAAUGGGGAAAAAAACUCCUGAGCUUUUGAAGUAUAUAAGAAACAUGCUCGCAGAUACAAGGAAGAUGGUGACACUCACCGAACAUGGCAGACUCACAACACACGAGCAUCAAAACAGAAUAUAACAACAACCCUACCAGCAGAGUACAGAACAAGACCACACCACAAAAUCAGACUAACACCAAGAGAUCAAGAAGAUAGCGCCACGAUCAGAUGGCCACCUCCUGUCUUCCAAGACAUUUUUGUUCUCCUUGAGCAGCUUGAUGCAACACGGCCUUGAUUAGUCGACCCCCAUAGGCAUUUGAUUCCAAACCCUCCACAAAAUCCAGGUUACACAUCCCAAACCCAACACCAUGAUUAAUCACCAGGUUCCCCUCCCUGGUGAAACCAACUCAUAGAAGAAAGUUCAAUGGAAACCCAAACAAAUAUUUCUUUUAAGCUAGACCACAAAUCAAGAUCUGUGAUUAGCAUUCUCCUUCACUUCACGGAAAGAAAAUUAAUCAUUUCCUGGCCGGUGUCUAUAUGCCAACUUGAACUGCUAUCGGAAUGCCGUCUUUUAGUGCUAUGGGGCAAGCCCACAAGAUCUUAUUUGGGAGGCAAUUUGGCCUUCCGAACAUCCAUGUUCCUGGAAUGAACCAGACCACCAAAAGUAAAUUCUUCUGCAUAGAGGAUUAGAUCAUGUUUUAGGAAGCCCCGACAAAUACCAUACACCAGUUGAAUUUCCUGCAAUUCGAGCAAAUCCCACUACUGAACUUCAACCUUUCCCAAACACCUUAGUUUCCAGUAACCUCAGUGUCAGUAGCAACCGAUGUAUUCUUCUACAGUAAAGCCAUCGUACAGAUGCUGAUAUCCACGGUGCUUUGUCCCCUCGAGAUGUCCUGCAGAAUGUGUCAGGAGAGCACAAAUACCACAGAUUAGAGUUACUAAUAGGAAUCAUAUCUAUUUGAACCAUGUUAUAGUUAUCCGAAUGCUCCAACCACAAACUUUAAGAUAAGUUUUCAAAAUGACCGCAUGUAUUUUUGCAAAAUCAAUUUAACCAAAUUCUUUCCUAAUUAUGUAUGGUACUUACUCUUCAUGGAAGAAUUAUGUGCUACAAGAAAUAUCAAAGCCACGAAAAAUGUUUUUGUUGGAAUUAAACCAAAGAAAAGUAUGUGUAGCUAGUACUAUGUCGGAAACAAAUCUAACAACUAUUUCGGACCCAAAAUAUAGGCCGGUUUACAACUUUCUAUGCACUUUGCCUAAACACUUCCCUGAAACCCCAACCCAAUUACUCUCAUGAAUACGCUAUCUUGAUACCAGUACAGCCCAGGGAGAUGGUCAUUUCAGCUUAUUUCCCUUAACUCUUGUGGCUGUAGGUUGUCAAUUGCCUCCCAGGGAGCCUUGGGUGCUACCAGAUGUGGAGCUUUCUUGGUCGUCGUCAUCAGCCUCGAUGAAGAAGAGUCGCGCACACCGCUGACCCUGAACAUAAAUCUCAUCACAGUUGAAGAAAAGGCCUUGGCUGCGACGUUCUUCUAACUCAGCUGGAGUGAAGCGCCAAACCUGCCGUGGCGGGGUUGGCUCUGGAAUGGUCGACAACAGAAUAAGUGGUAGUGGCGCUGGCGGGGAAGGUAUUGUAGCUGCGUUGGCCGCGGGAAGAUUGGAGGGGCACAAGGGCCCUGUAGGACCAGAGGGCUGGUGUGAUGGCAUUGUUGUCGAGAAAUGCUUCUGCUCAUAGGCCUUGGCGAAGGAGAUGGCAGUAUGUUGGUAAGAUGGCCACCGAAGCUCGACGUCAAUGUGAAGACCAUCAGGCAGCCCUGCUGUGUACAGAAGCCGUUGUUGGGACGGUGUUAAUGGCUCAUUGUUGUGGCACAUGAGCAAUAGAAACCUGCUGGUGUAGUCGGCAACCAAGGAAGUGAACGGCAGACGUGCCAACUCACCCGAAGGAUUGGCGCGAAGUGACGGCCCAAACUAAACAUGGGAAGCUUCCUUGAACUGCUCCCAUGUUGGCAUGCCAAAGUCGCCCUCGAGAUGUAAGUACCAGAACUGAGUGUCAUUGGUGAGGUGGUAGGCUGCAGCUCAGACCUUGUCAGCCUCCUGCUCGCACCUAUUUAGCGAACCAAGAGGAUUGACCGAACCAGCAUAUGUCGCGAAGCCGAGCUUGUGGAAGCAAGGCACGCCUGAACCAGAACCUAAUCCGAGGUGAUUGUUAAGUAGGGGCAGAAGGGAGGUGAUGGGCGAGGUGGGUCCAUAGAUGGGUUGUGGAGGGGGGUGCAGCCAUAACGUCACGAAAUCGGUUGGCAGGUGGAGGCAUGAAGGCGGUAGAGGCGGCGGCGGCGAUGGCCACGCUGGAGAAGGGGGCACCGGAGGUGCUGCUGGCGAGGGGAAGCACCAGGUCGCUAGGGUGGAGGGCCGGGGGCCCAGAGGUGGCGUCAUGGGCAGCUGUUGCAGUCAUGUUAUCUGAAGGUGGGGGCAGGGCCGGCAGCCGUUGCUCGAGUGUCGUCAAGCGCUGCACCAGCCCGUCGAGGAGCACCUGGUCCUCCCCUCGUUGGAGCGUGAAGGUCUCCAAUUGCUUCGUGGUGAUCUUCAUCUGCCCCACAGCCUCGAUUUCUUUGCCCGCCAUCGAGAUGGAUCUCAUACCAAAUUGGAGGAAUCUACUAUGACCUAACCCUAAUUACUCAAAAGUAGAUAAAAGUAAACGAAAAUAUUCUUCUCUGCUUUAUUGAAAGGGGUCGGCCCCUUUAUAUAAUAGACAAGACUUGACCAACAAGUCGGUAACUCUAUUCAAGCUCUAACACGGUCUCAAAAACUGACUCGACUCUUUCCUAACAAAGAUGCUUAAUCAACUAAGACACUAAUUAAGGGGUAAGACUCCACGUUUGAUGGGCUGGUCCACAUAACAUGCAUAAUUGGGAUCUCAAAAAGAAACAUGCAUAACUGCCAUAUAGGCGCUAUGGCAGUAAUCUACGACAAGUGAUGUUGUUGCGAACCUUAAAACAACUAGUGCAAAAAAUCAGUCUUCAGAACAGCUAGUUUAUUGCACAAGAAACAAUCAUGAUUGCAUUCCCUGGUUUGACUUGCUUUACAAGAAGGAUGGCAAAGCAUAUCAACAACAUAAAGUAACUAUCGACUGCUAAAAACACAAAGGAAGUUUGCAGUAGCAACCUUACUACCUCAUAUGCUUGGUGG
This 3202-nucleotide long non-coding RNA is filed under the name Triticum aestivum (bread wheat). Its description in RNAcentral is "long non-coding RNA (TAES_LNC020467)". Lineage: Eukaryota; Viridiplantae; Streptophyta; Magnoliopsida; Poales; Poaceae. The record is from RNAcentral.